GCCAGGAUAGCUCAGUGGAUAGAGCGCGUAUUCACCCUGGCCGGUAUUCUCCGGCAACGGCAGUGAUGGUCAGGGUUACUCCGCUUCGGACGGCGAGGUCGCGGGUUCGAAUCCCGUUCCUGGCA
This 125-nucleotide transfer RNA is filed under the name Polyangiaceae bacterium. RNAcentral describes it as "tRNA-OTHER". It matches the Rfam family "tRNA". Rfam says of the family: Transfer RNA (tRNA) molecules are approximately 80 nucleotides in length. Their secondary structure includes four short double-helical elements and three loops (D, anti-codon, and T loops). Further hydrogen bonds mediate the characteristic L-shaped molecular structure. tRNAs have two regions of fundamental functional importance: the anti-codon, which is responsible for specific mRNA codon recognition, and the 3' end, to which the tRNAs corresponding amino acid is attached (by aminoacyl-tRNA synthetases). tRNAs cope with the degeneracy of the genetic code in two manners: having more than one tRNA (with a specific anti-codon) for a particular amino acid; and 'wobble' base-pairing, i.e. permitting non-standard base-pairing at the 3rd anti-codon position. Lineage: Bacteria; Pseudomonadati; Myxococcota; Polyangiales; Polyangiaceae. The record is from RNAcentral.